CGGAAUCGCCACCGUCAACAUUUCUUCUUCUCUGCCUCUCGUCGGAGCUCGCCGGUGGUUCGUCGGCCUCUACCUCUUCGAGUUCGAGUCUUCCGUCUUCACUUUGAUUCGAGACUCUGUCUCUCUGCCUCGACCUCCAUUCGCGACUUUGUCUUCUCUCUUUUCGGUUCUCUUCUUCUUUUGUUGGUGGCUCGUCGGAGCUCAUGCUCAUCAAUUGAGAUUUUAAAAUCUCUCAGUAUUGAACAUUUGAACUCUCCAUUUCAAUGGAUCCUGCUAAUGAGGUAGCCGAUC
Long non-coding RNA from Arachis stenosperma, 291 nucleotides. RefSeq lists it as uncharacterized. The record is from RefSeq and is a predicted model, not a curated record. Lineage: Eukaryota; Viridiplantae; Streptophyta; Magnoliopsida; Fabales; Fabaceae. The transcript is spliced from 3 exons.